This is a non-coding RNA of Cajanus cajan (pigeon pea), 288 nucleotides long. NCBI's taxonomy places the organism in Eukaryota, Viridiplantae, Streptophyta, Magnoliopsida, Fabales, Fabaceae. The record is from RefSeq and is a predicted model, not a curated record.
AAUCUAACUUUUGCAUACUAUCUUAAAGAAACCUAAACUAAUUAAUGUCUUACAAAAAGAAAAUCCAAAUAACAAGUCAUCCUAAAUAGUAAUCAACCUAAGCUAGUAAAAUCAUCAUCUCGUCCUUGAUCCUCCCUAUGUUGGUUGGCUGAUGGUGUUGUUGAUGGUUGAACUGCUUGAAUUAUUUGCCUCAUCAUCUCUGGUAAUUGUGUUUGCAAAAAAGAGGCCAAUGCAUUAUUUAUAACUGUAUUGACCCGUUCUUCUGUCAUAGGCGUAAGAUUUGUAGAG